Molecule: ribosomal RNA, 253 nt
Filed under: uncultured bacterium
Lineage: Bacteria
Description: partial 16S ribosomal RNA
Rfam family: Bacterial small subunit ribosomal RNA
Source: RNAcentral
UACAGGGGGUGCAAGCGUUAUUCGGAAUUAUUGGGCGUAAAGCGCGCGUAGGCGGUUCGGUAAGUUUGGUGUGAAAGCCCUGAACUUAAUUCAGGAAGUGCAUUGAAUACUGCCGGACUGGAGUACUGGAGAGGAGAGUGGAAUUCCUGGUGUAGAGGUGAAAUUCGUAGAUAUCAGGAGGAACAACAGCAGCGAAGGCGGCUCUCUGGACAGUCACUGACGCUGAGGCGCGAAAGCGUGGGGAGCAAACAGG